RNAcentral lists this long non-coding RNA (531 nucleotides) under Linum usitatissimum (flax). Its description in RNAcentral is "long non-coding RNA (LUSI_LNC006340)". Lineage: Eukaryota; Viridiplantae; Streptophyta; Magnoliopsida; Malpighiales; Linaceae. The record is from RNAcentral.
UUAAGCCAAGAUUGGAGACCCAAUUUUAUUAAACCACGUUCAUUCAACCAAGCCAAAACAAAUAGGGAUUUCGAUGGAGGAAUCUGAAAAAUUUUCAACCCUCAAUCGGGAUCAAAAUCAAGGAGUGGGAGGAGCGUUAGACAUCGAUAUCAUACACCAGAGGAUUAGGAGGAGCGGGGAUGGCGAUAGGGUGAAUUGGAGGCCGCGGUGACAGUGACUUAUGAUGCUCCCUGGAAUGACAAACAUCGCCAUAGAUGGAUUCUGCGGAUUGAGGAAGAUGAGAGGACUAGGAAGAACGGGGAUGGCGAUACGGUGAUCAAUCGGAGGCGGUGGUGAUAGUGACUUGUGAUAUUCGCUGGAAUGACGAACGUCGCCAUAGAUGGGAAAGAUGACUGGUAAAAUUUCAGCUUAAACCCCAAGUUUUUUAUGGUUGCAAUCCCCAAUUAUUUGUUAAGUACUUUCGUAAUCUGUAACUUUCAACUACCAUAAGCCGCGAUCUAAUGACUUUUUCAUUUAAUACAAAACUGGUCC